CAGUAGCCACGGGAACACGGAGGGAGCUAGCGUUGUUCGGAAUUACUGGGCGUAAAGCGCGCGUAGGCGGUUACUCAAGUCAGAGGUGAAAGCCCGGGGCUCAACCCCGGAACUGCCUUUGAAACUAGGUGACUAGAAUCUUGGAGAGGUCAGUGGAAUUCCGAGUGUAGAGGUGAAAUUCGUAGAUAUUCGGAAGAACACCAGUGGCGAAGGCGACUGACUGGACAAGUAUUGACGCUGAGGUGCGAAAGCGUGGGGAGCAAAUAGGAUUAGAUACCCGAGUAGUCCCUGUUUCUUAUAC
This 301-nucleotide ribosomal RNA is filed under the name uncultured bacterium. RNAcentral's name for it is "partial 16S ribosomal RNA". It matches the Rfam family "Bacterial small subunit ribosomal RNA", at positions 509 to 807 of the family's 1533-position model. The record is from RNAcentral.